Molecule: ribosomal RNA, 1305 nt
Filed under: Apilactobacillus kunkeei
Lineage: Bacteria; Bacillati; Bacillota; Bacilli; Lactobacillales; Lactobacillaceae
Description: bacterial SSU rRNA
Rfam family: Bacterial small subunit ribosomal RNA
Source: RNAcentral
AGUCGACGAGCUCUCCCAAAUUGAUUUUAUGCUUGCAUAAAUGAUUUUUGGAUUCGGAGCGAGUGGCGAACUGGUGAGUAACACGUGGGUAACCUGCCCCGAAGCGGGGGAUAACAUUUGGAAACAAGUGCUAAUACCGCAUAAUUAGUUGGAACCGCAUGGUUCCAACUUGAAAGAUGGCUCUGCUAUCACUUUGGGAUGGACCCGCGCCGUAUUAGUUAGUUGGUGAGAUAAAAGCCCACCAAGACGAUGAUACGUAGCCGACCUGAGAGGGUAAUCGGCCACAUUGGGACUGAGACACGGCCCAGACUCCUACGGGAGGCAGCAGUAGGGAAUCUUCCACAAUGGACGAAAGUCUGAUGGAGCAACGCCGCGUGAGUGAUGAAGGUUUUCGGAUCGUAAAACUCUGUUGUUAAAGAAGAACAAGUGUUAGAGUAACUGUUAACACUUUGACGGUAUUUAACCAGAAAGCCACGGCUAACUACGUGCCAGCAGCCGCGGUAAUACGUAGGUGGCAAGCGUUGUCCGGAUUUAUUGGGCGUAAAGCGAGCGCAGGCGGUUUUGUAAGUCUGCUGUGAAAGCCCUCAGCUCAACUGAGGAAGUGCAGUGGAAACUACAAAACUUGAGUACAGAAGAGGAAAGUGGAACUCCAUGUGUAGCGGUGAAAUGCGUAGAUAUAUGGAAGAACACCAGUGGCGAAGGCGGCUUUCUGGUCUGUUACUGACGCUGAGGCUCGAAAGCAUGGGUAGCGAACAGGAUUAGAUACCCUGGUAGUCCAUGCCGUAAACGAUGAAUACUAGGUGUUGGAGGGUUUCCGCCCUUCAGUGCCGCAGCUAACGCAUUAAGUAUUCCGCCUGGGGAGUACGACCGCAAGGUUGAAACUCAAAGGAAUUGACGGGGGCCCGCACAAGUGGUGGAGCAUGUGGUUUAAUUCGAUGCUACGCGAAGAACCUUACCAGCUCUUGACAUCUUCUGCCAACCCAAGAGAUUGGGCGUUCCCUUCGGGGACAGAAUGACAGGUGGUGCAUGGUUGUCGUCAGCUCGUGUCGUGAGAUGUUGGGUUAAGUCCCGCAACGAGCGCAACCCUUAUUAUUAGUUGCCAGCAUUUAGUUGGGCACUCUAGUGAGACUGCCGGUGAUAAACCGGAGGAAGGUGGGGACGACGUCAAAUCAUCAUGCCCCUUAUGAGCUGGGCUACACACGUGCUACAAUGGAUGGUACAACGAGUCGCGAAACCGCGAGGUCAAGCUAAUCUCUUAAAGCCAUUCUCAGUUCGGAUUGCAGGCUGCAACUCGCCUGCAUGAAG